AGUAGAUUGCCUGAUAAAAGGGAUAUCUUGAUAGGAUAUAUCAUAUAUACAAAUAUAUCUGCUA
RNAcentral lists this transfer RNA (64 nucleotides) under Cermatobius longicornis. RNAcentral's name for it is "tRNA-Ile". Lineage: Eukaryota; Metazoa; Arthropoda; Chilopoda; Lithobiomorpha; Henicopidae. The record is from RNAcentral.